GUUAUUAUUAAAGGUAAAUGCACAUUCUUAAAAGCAUCUCAGAUCUCUCAAUAGAAUUAUCUGUGUGAGCUGACAGGAAAGGCCUACAAAGCUGCAUUUCAUAAUGUCUGGAGAGGAUGCUGCAUAAACACAUUGUUUGCCUUGAUCUGGAAGGAACUGCCCUGGAGGGAAAGAGGAGGAAGCAAGAUACAAUAACUGUGAUUUCUGAGAAACUUGGCAAGGAAAUGAAACAAUAAUGGAGCAGAACAUCAACAGUUCCAGGCAGUACAUUGCUGGUUUUUUCAAGAACUUGUGGUCAUUAUGGAAGAUAAAUGACAGUCCUUGGAGCUCAUGGCUGAAGCACACAUUAGUCACUGCAGCCUUCAGAACCCUUGAGGGAACUUCUGAGGACCUUGGGACUUAGCCAAGCAGUGGGUGCUUACACAUUGCAUGUACUGUCACCCCUGUACAGAGCUUUAAAUAAUAGAGUCAUAGAAUGAUUAAGGUUGGAAAAGACCACUAGAAUUACCUAGUCCAACCCUUAACCCUUCCCCACUAUGCCCAGUAAGUCAUGUACAUAUAAUACAAUACAGUAUCCCACAUCAUUUUACAACUGAUCCACAUACGUUACAAACGAAUGACACCCUAAUAAGAGAAGCAAACAGUGAAACCUUUAAUAUUUCCAUAAUCUCAGCGGGUCUACAUUUUGUGUGCACAUUGUAACAUUGCAGGAUAGGCUAAUGAUAAGAAAGUAAUAAUGCCAUGUGAAAUUUGGGAGUC
Molecule: long non-coding RNA, 759 nt
Filed under: Numida meleagris (helmeted guineafowl)
Lineage: Eukaryota; Metazoa; Chordata; Aves; Galliformes; Numididae
Description: lncRNA (ENSNMEG00000016291.1)
Source: RNAcentral